Molecule: ribosomal RNA, 253 nt
Filed under: uncultured bacterium
Lineage: Bacteria
Description: partial 16S ribosomal RNA
Rfam family: Bacterial small subunit ribosomal RNA (bases 44-253)
Source: RNAcentral
AACGUCGGCGCCCCCCUUUCUCCUUCUUUCCUUUUCUUCCCUUUCUUUUCUUUUUUAUUUUAAUUCUUUCUUUAAAUUUUUCGGCUUAACCGGGAAAGGUCGUCGGAUACUGCACAACUAGAGGACGGUAGAGGCGUGUGGAAUUCCGGGGGUAGUGGUGAAAUGCGUAGAGAUCCGGAGGAACACCAGUGGCGAAGGCGACACGCUGGGCCGUACCUGACACUGAUGCGCGACGGCAUGGGGAGCAAACAGG